GAUGAACGCUGGCGGCGUGCCUAAUACAUGCAAGUCGAGCGAACAGACGAGGAGCUUGCUCCUCUGACGUUAGCGGCGGACGGGUGAGUAACACGUGGAUAACCUACCUAUAAGACUGGGAUAACUUCGGGAAACCGGAGCUAAUACCGGAUAAUAUAUUGAACCGCAUGGUUCAAUAGUGAAAGACGGUUUUGCUGUCACUUAUAGAUGGAUCCGCGCCGCAUUAGCUAGUUGGUAAGGUAACGGCUUACCAAGGCAACGAUGCGUAGCCGACCUGAGAGACGAGGGGGGCACAACUGAAGAGAGAGACGGGCAAGACGCAAAGCGUAGGGAGAAAAAGGCAAGGUGCCGAAAUGGGAGAACGCCUGAUAGAGCAACGCAGGUGGAGAAAUAAAAGUCUGAAAAUACUAAAACUCUUCUAUUAUGGAAGUAAAAAGAGACAAGUAACGAAGAACGUCCCGGCGGCACCGAAAAAGAAAGGCACGGAUACCUAUAAG
This 497-nucleotide ribosomal RNA is filed under the name uncultured bacterium. RNAcentral's name for it is "partial 16S ribosomal RNA". It matches the Rfam family "Bacterial small subunit ribosomal RNA", at positions 28 to 507 of the family's 1533-position model. The record is from RNAcentral.